AGUGAGAUUGAACUAUUUAGCUGAGCGCACGGUCUAAGCACCGGCGCCAUAUCCUUCAAAUGUCUGCCUUAUCAACUUUCGAUGGUAGAUUAUGCGCCUACCAUGGUUGUAACGGGUAACGGAGAAUCAGGGUUUGAUUCCGGAGAGGGGGCCUGAGAAAUGGCCACCACAUCC
This 174-nucleotide ribosomal RNA is filed under the name Halomonhystera disjuncta. RNAcentral describes it as "partial 18S ribosomal RNA". It matches the Rfam family "Eukaryotic small subunit ribosomal RNA", at positions 245 to 417 of the family's 1831-position model. Lineage: Eukaryota; Metazoa; Nematoda; Chromadorea; Monhysterida; Monhysteridae. The record is from RNAcentral. RNAcentral also lists the same sequence under 2 other names.